This 403-nucleotide ribosomal RNA is filed under the name uncultured bacterium. Its description in RNAcentral is "partial 16S ribosomal RNA". It matches the Rfam family "Bacterial small subunit ribosomal RNA", at positions 28 to 526 of the family's 1533-position model. The record is from RNAcentral.
GACGAACGCUGGCGGCGUGCCUAAUACAUGCAAGUCGAACGCAGUGGGGACGGGUGAGUAACACGUGGGUAACCUCCCAUCAGAGGGGAUAACACUUGGAAACAGGUGCUAAACCGAUACUGAUGGAUGGACCCGCGGUGCAUUAGCUAGUUGGUGAGGUAACGGCUCACCAAGGCCACGAUGCAUAGCCGACCGGAGAGGGUGACCGGCCAAACGGGGACUGGGACACGGCCCAGACCCCUACGGGGGGAAGAAGGAGGGAAUCUCCGGCAAUGGACGAAAGCCUGACCGAGCAACGCCGCGGGAGUGAAGAAGGUUUUCGGAUCGUAAAACUCUGUUGUUAGAGAAGCGGUAUCUAACCAGAAAGCCACGGCUAACUACGUGCCAGCCGCCGCGGUAAUAC